Molecule: non-coding RNA, 246 nt
Filed under: Lactobacillus pasteurii
Lineage: Bacteria; Bacillati; Bacillota; Bacilli; Lactobacillales; Lactobacillaceae
Description: T-box sequence
Rfam family: T-box leader
About the family: Uncharged tRNA acts as the effector for transcription antitermination of genes in the T-box leader family. T-boxes are found upstream of many aminoacyl-tRNA synthetase genes and some amino acid biosynthetic genes usually in Gram-positive bacteria.
Source: RNAcentral
CCGAAGACAAAGAUAAAGAAGAGUAACCUAAUCCAAGUUUUCAGCGAGUCUCGUUAGGUGCAAGGAGAUAAAUAAAGUUUAGGCGAAAAUCACUUUUGAGUUCAACUUCUUAAUUUAUAGUAAGAAGGAGUGGGAGCACCCAUUACAGUGCCGACGUAUCGCCAGGAUUACUGGCUGCACGUGUAGAGAUAUUGCUAGCAAUAGUGAUAUGAAGACAGGGUGGUACCACGCUCAAGCGUCCCUCAA